GUAAGGUCCUCAUAUGAUUAUGCACCAUUCUUCAUUUAAAUUGUUCGGCAAUUUUUAAUUCAUAUGAAAUUUGAGAAGGGCAGGCACGUGUUACCUGUACCCAAAAGGAGGAUUGUGUUUUCGAUAAAAAAAAAUUAGAAAAAAAAUGUAUAUUAUAUACAACAAAAAAAGGGGGGAUACCCAAACCCUGGUGUCUUAUUCCAGUCCAGGCAUAUCAGUAUGUUCAUAGAUCUGCGUUGUAGUAUAACUUAAAAAUAAUGCAUCCAAGCAAGUUUGAUAUAGUAUUUUUUCCGAAUGCGUUUUGCCUCCAUAAUUAAGGUAAAUGGGGGUAAAUCAUCAAUUUCACUUUAAUUUCAGGCUUAUUCCUCACAGUAAACAUGUAUACGCUAUUGUUCUGGAAUCACUCCUAAAGACAUUUGUUUAAGGCAAUCACAUUCUCUCUGGUUUUCUCUAUGACAUCUUUAAAUAUGAAUCACGAUCUCCAAUUCUCAACACGUCCAUUGCAUACGCGCGUGUGUUAUCCGACACCGCGUGUGUUAUCCGACACCUUCAUCCGGGACACUUUCCACAUCACAUGACACUUUUAUUGAUAUUGAAUAUUUGCGCAUCCGCAGACGGAUGGCCGGACGAAUAGAGAUUUUUAACUAUUCGUCCGGCUAGCCGGACGAAUAGACAC
RNAcentral lists this long non-coding RNA (676 nucleotides) under Mytilus galloprovincialis (Mediterranean mussel). Lineage: Eukaryota; Metazoa; Mollusca; Bivalvia; Mytilida; Mytilidae. The record is from RNAcentral.